AAAAAACUACAUAAGCGCAUAUAACGGAUGCCUUGACGUAAGUUACCGACGAAGGACGUAGUAGGCUGCGAAAAGCUUCGGGGAGGUGCCAACAACCUUUGAACCGAAGAUUUCCGAAUGGGGAAACCCACAAUGAGUAAUGUCAUUGUACAUCUACCUGAAUAUAUAGGGUAGUUAGUGGUAAGUGCCUGAACUGAAACAUCUUAGUAGGGCGAGGAAUAGAAAGUAACCAACGAUUCUGGGAGUAGUGGCGAGCGAAACUGGAAUAGUCCAAACCUAGUUUACUUCCGUGUGUUUACACGGAUAAGUUGACAGACGAAUGUACACUAAUGGGGUUGUGAGAAGUAAAUUAACCAUGCUGAUAAGCUGUCUUAUAGACGGAAUAUCGGCUUGGCAAAGCAGGUGCUGUCACGAGCCUGCAUAAGGAGUAUAAAAAGACCUAACGCGAGUAGAAUCCUUUGGAAAGAGGAACCAAAGACGGUGAUAGUCCGGUAUACCAAGUGUUAGGAACCUUAUCAUUUACUAUCUCGAGUAAGACGGGGCACGAGAAACCCUGUCCGAAGCUGGGACGACCACGUUCCAAGACUAAAUAUGACUUACGAUCGAUAGAGAACUAGUACCGCGAGGGAAAGGUAAAAAGAACCCCGGAAGGGGAGUGAAAUAGAACCUGAAAUUAUAUGCGUACAAGGACUCGGAGCCCUUCGGGGUGACGGGGAGCUUUUUGUAGAACGAUCCAGCGAGUUAAUUGUAUGGGGUUUGCUUAAGCCAUUUGGCGUGAGGCACAGUGAAAGCGAGCCUGAAUAGGGCGAAAUAAUAUCCCAGCAAUUAGACCCGAAACCGGGUGACCU
This 848-nucleotide ribosomal RNA is filed under the name Candidatus Saccharimonadota bacterium. RNAcentral describes it as "partial 23S ribosomal RNA". It matches the Rfam family "Bacterial large subunit ribosomal RNA", at positions 1 to 731 of the family's 2925-position model. The record is from RNAcentral. Lineage: Bacteria; Candidatus Saccharimonadota.